CGCGAAUGUCGAGGUUUUUAAACGUUGUGGUAUCAGAGCUGGCCUCUGUAUUCAUUUGAGCAGGGCGGCGUUGUGUUGGAUGGAGCUUGACUGCCCUCGUGUGUCCAAACUCGGGAACGGCAGUUUCCCAGAAGGGGUAUUCUGUUCCAAGUUUGUGGUAGUUAGCCAAGAAAUAUUACAUGAUUACUAUUACUCUCUCUCCCCUUUUUUAAACCCGUUCACGAUAAUUAUUGUAUACAUUACCUUUAUUUUUGUAAUCUUCUUCCCUAUUUGUGGAUAUUCUCGAGUGAAAUAGAUGAGGCCACGUAGGGAACACAUGAAGUUACCUAGGAGCAGAGUCUAAAAUAUCUUUUUGAGGGACCUCAAACUAUUAUCAUUUGCUAUACUAUUGAUCAUUACGUUAAGUACAUCUUAUUCGUAAAAAGUACUUAAUGAAGAUAAUAUACUUUAUAUUUUUUUAUGUAACCAUUCAAGUAUUUGUUGAAAUGCUUUUGUUACUGAUAAAUACAUGUACAUUUAAAUUGAUUUUGUUCUGUCUGUGAUUUUGUACAUCUGGAUGUUCAACUGGUCUCAGAUCAAGCAUCCUCCUCUGUACUGACUCCACUAUCCCCAGCUUCAUCCCAUUCAUCAGAUUCCACAAUUGUCCUGGAGUCCACAAGAAAGAGGAGGAACCCAACAGGGUUAAUGGACCAGAAUGAAGCAAGACAGAAAGUUGAUUGUGUUCUGAGGGCCAAUCCAAAGGGUGAGGAAAUCUUCAAGGAGUAUGAAAAGACCAAAACACUAACAGAUGGUGAACGUCCUGGUUGCAGACAUGUUAGAGCUACAUGGGUAAGAAUUGGAGGUCACUUCCCUCCCUUUGUCAUCACAACAGAUUCAUGUGGCGCAGCUAAAGAAUGCUAUUCUGUGUUGCUAUAAAAGGGGAAUUUAUCCUUUAACUUCUUGCAAAACAUACACGCUUGCAAAGUAAAUUGAUUUAUUUGAAAGGAUGAUUCCAUCGUCAAGACGAAUUAUGCACUGGGAAUUGUGACACUUUUUCCAUACCUCCAAGAUCCUUUCUCCAAACAUGGAUAUGUAAGUUCUGUCUGAAAACCCAAACCAGUGUGUUUUUAUAUUUUCUUCCCUUUUAUAGUUUUAAAGUUAAAAUGAUCUUGUUUUAGAUGAGUGUUUAUAGGUUGCUCAGCUUUGUAUUUUCCACUUGUUUUUGUAGUGUUAUAUAGUCAUUGUGUGAACUUACUGUGUUGAGUAAUUCAUUCUUGAAGCCAAGCACGAGAUGCCUCUCUUUGGGUCUUUUCUUAAACAGGAACACUACUAUGAUCCUGAGGGUAAUAGUGGCUUCAUUGCAUGGAGGAUCAAGACAGUUCAACGUAACACCUGUGCUGGCUCCCGGUGUCAUUCCAAGACUGUUCUUCAGGAUGGUCCAAAAACCAGACGAGAAUCUCUGUUAUUCUGUCAACAGCAAUUUGGUGAGGAGUGCAGGGAGGCGAUAUCUACGAUACGAUAUUCCACUGAUGAAUCUGUGGUCAAAGAGAAGAUGAGCGACUUUCCAGUAUCGGCAGAAGGUGGUCGGUGAGGAUGCACCAUCUUCAGUCCUGGAUUUGUUCCCUCGUUUCCUUGAUGUACCUGGAUUGGUAAGAAAAUCUUUAGCUUUGGAAAUAGUUUUGAAAAGGAAAUUUUCUCUGUAGUUAUUAAAUGAGUUCACUGGUACAGUAGAGAAAGGAGUUGUUCAAUGAUCACCGUAACACCAACAGGCCGGUCCAAACUGAGAAAUUCAACGUUCUAAUCUUUUAUAUCCCAAAUGUAUGCAUAAAUAACACAGCAGAUCUUAAUUUUUAGUAUUUGACCUUUUAUCCAUUUAUGUCCGUUAUGUUUAAACCUGUAUAAACCUUGUUUAUAGAUCGACCAGGAUUUCUCCAUGAUGUUUGGUGACGAAGUGUCUCAGAAGUUCCUGGCAAAGUGGUCAAUAUUCUUCAAGCCAAAAAUCAUUGCAGACUGCAAGACUCUUAAGAAUAUGGGCGAGCUGCUGUCAGGAACUGAACCUGAAUCUGAGGACUACAAUGGUCAGUAUAAACUGUUUUGUAUUUUAAAAAUGUUCCAGUCUUUAAAAAAAUAAUUAAAGAGAGAUCAUUUAAUUAUUUUGUGAUGUCUUUACGAUGGGACAGCGAUAUGUCCUCAAUCCUUUUGCAGCUGCAUCUGCUCCCUCUAACCUCAAGAGGCCAGAAAAAAAAUAUCCAAGAUCAGUUCAGCUCAAGCAACCAGCCAUCUUGUGAGAUAUCUUAAGGAAGGAGCCAGUGUGACUACCUUCAUUGAGAGUGCUGACACAAGACAACCAUUCCUCCUCUGCAUCAGUGAGCGAAAGAAGGAUAUCCCAAAGUUCUACGUUAUUAUCGACCAAAAGGCGAUCCCAUGUAAGGC
Ictalurus furcatus (blue catfish) is the source of this 2412-nucleotide long non-coding RNA. RefSeq lists it as uncharacterized. NCBI's taxonomy places the organism in Eukaryota, Metazoa, Chordata, Actinopteri, Siluriformes, Ictaluridae. The transcript is spliced from 4 exons. The record is from RefSeq and is a predicted model, not a curated record.